This 213-nucleotide unclassified non-coding RNA is filed under the name Hevea brasiliensis (rubber tree). The record is from RNAcentral. Lineage: Eukaryota; Viridiplantae; Streptophyta; Magnoliopsida; Malpighiales; Euphorbiaceae.
GAGAUAAAUUGACUAGUGGAUUCAACAUAAAACUUAUCAAAUUGACCAACACAACACAUAGAUGGACUAGUUAACUUGACAGACAACACUAAAACAAAUCAAACUCUGAAGUUGAGGGAGAGAAAGAGGACUAAGGCGCCUUUAACAUAACCGAAGGAGAUCUGGAUCGAGGGGAAAACUGAAGCAAGAACCCCAAUCUCAUUGACGAUGGCG